CCUACGGGAGGCAGCAGUGAGGAAUAUUGGUCAAUGGACGGGAGUCUGAACCAGCCAAGUAGCGUGAAGGAUGACUGCCCUAUGGGUUGUACACUUCUUUUAUAUGGGAAUAAAAUGUUCCCCGUGUGGGAUGUUGUAUGUACCAUAUGAAUAAGGAUCGGCUAACGCCGUGCCAGCAGCCGCGGUAAUACGGAGGAUACGAGCGUUAUCCGGAUUGAUUGGGUUUAAAGGGAGCGUAGGUGGAUUGUUAAGUCAGUUGUGAAAGUUCGCGGCUUAACCGUAGAAUUGCAGUUGAAACUGGCAGUCGUGAGUACAGUAGAGGUAGGCGGAAUUCGGGGUGUAGCGGUGAAAUGCUUAGAUAUCACGCAGAACUCCGAUUGCGAAGGCAGUUCACUGGACUGCAACUGACACUGAGGCACGAAAGUGUGGGUAUCAAACAGGAUUAGAUACCCGGGUAGUC
Molecule: ribosomal RNA, 460 nt
Filed under: uncultured bacterium
Lineage: Bacteria
Description: partial 16S ribosomal RNA
Rfam family: Bacterial small subunit ribosomal RNA
Source: RNAcentral